This 2139-nucleotide long non-coding RNA is filed under the name Ooceraea biroi (clonal raider ant). Its description in RNAcentral is "uncharacterized LOC109611462". The record is from RNAcentral. Lineage: Eukaryota; Metazoa; Arthropoda; Insecta; Hymenoptera; Formicidae.
ACAUUUUGGGAGCGCUGCUUUCUCAAAUAGGCUACGUGGAGGAUUCCAAUGAGACGGAUCUCAACAAGAGGCUGCAAGGUGGGGAUGUACUUUCGGUGUUUUGGAAUGUCAGGGUAAUGCCACUGAAAAAUUGCAGGAGCAUCUGAAAAAUGGCAGCAGAGUUUCGCCAGAUUGGAAAGACUGGGUAUAUUGCAAAGGUUCUAUGGGAGCGAAGGUAGAGACUUUGAACACUAUGGUGAAAUGUUUGUCAAGCAUGAAUGUAUCUUUUAAUAGCAUUUUUGAAUAUCUUUCGUGCUCUGAAACAUAUUCUGAUUCAGUCGUGCACUACUUAUAUAAAGUAUCGCUAAACGAUAUGCUAAAUAAUAUGCUAAAUGGUGUCUACGUUCCUUAUCAGAUUGUUGCAAGGCAUGCAAAGCAUCAUAUAGGCAAUAUAACAACAAAUUAUGAGAUAUACAAGUAAUGAAAUGAUUUUUAUAGAUUUAUCAUUCAGAUGCAUUAAAUUAUUACUUAUGCAAUACAUUUCGUACUGUAGUAGUUAUUAAUUAUGAAUCUAUUUUGGUUUUACAGGUAUAUAAUUUCCGAAAAGACUAAGCUAUUCAGUAUCAUUAUUAAUCAUUCGCAUUCCGAUGAUGAAAUCAACAAGUUAAAGACAUGUGUGGAAAGCAUUUCAAAUAGAACAAGGACCGGGGAUAUGUCAAAGAUAUCGUAUGCUAUAGAGAAACGCUCGUUCAAUAUUUACUUUUGGAAAAACAAAUUAAAAUAGAAUCGAUGAAGUAAACAAACCUAGGAUUCGCAUUCGGUCGGCAAAAAAUAAAGACGGAGACAAGUGUGCACUUGUAUGGCUUCAUUAGAAGCAAUAUUCCGUUCGCGCAUACGCGCUCAAAUUUCACAUGUAUGAUAGUGUGAGUAAUAACUAAUUGCAAAGUAAUAACUAUUGUACAUAUUAUUAUUAUUAUACAUACAUGAAGCUGUAUUAGAUGUAUACAUAUACAUACACCUCGUGUAUUAUAUAUAUGUAUAUAUAUGUACAAUCUAGAGAUGUUUAGUUAUACUUGUUUUAUUACUAUUUUGCAAUGCUUUAUUAGUCAUAUUCUUCUAUUUAUUAUCUAUUUAUUUCUAUUUAUUUUUCAUACUUGAACAUUUGUUUCCGUUGCAUUAUUAUUUAUAUUCUUCUUACUAUUGCUCUUGUGUGUUGUUAUACUUUUAGUCUAAUAUUAUUCUUCUCUCAAUUGUUUACUUUUACGUACAUUUUAGAGCCCAAUUACUUUUGUUUUGUUCUCUGUGGUCUUAGACAUAUAAAAGAGAUAACCAAGGUCAUUUUAGAAAACAAUUUUUUAAAGAUUUCAUGUAUAUAUAUUUUGUUCUGAGAAUAUUUUUUUAAAGAAAAAACAUUAAAAUAUUAAAUUUGAGCCUAUUUUUCAAGACUUUUUGUAUUGAAUAACCGGUUUUCGAAAAUAAAGAACUUAUGACCAUCCAUCUUGCACCAAUCCUGUAUCAAGCACAUAUUAAAUUGUUUAGACAGAAUAGUUCAGUGCUUAAACCUGGAACAUAUGUUCUUAACCUUCAGUUUGAGAAGAAAAUAUGUUGUAGCCAUGUAUCCUGUUCAUAAAACAUAUUUAACAUUUUUCUGCAAAUCAGGAAGGUUUAUUUAGGGCUUUAAUCACAGUUAGGACAUAAUACAACAAGAAUAAAUAUUUGAAAUUUACGUGCUGUACUUUAUAAAAAUCUUUACUAAAAAUUUGAAGCUAAUAAAUUUUUGGUAAAAAAGAAAUGAUGACCUUUUUGUUAAACGUCUUGUUGGUAACAUAUUCCAUUUGUUGUAGACUACUACUCUCAACUGUCAAACAUGGUUUAUUUCUUUUCAAUUAAUUAUUAAGAUCGUACCCAAUACAUUAAAUAUACAUUAUUCAAAUAUUAUCUCUAUUUGUGAUACUGUAUAACUGAGGACAUUCUAUAAAAUUUAGCCAAAAGAAUCUAACUAUUUACACAACUUAUUUAUAAAAUACAAAAGCAAUAUUUUAGCCACACUUGAUCAUAUUCCAUUUAAUCGUUUACGAAAACGUUAGGGUUUAACGCACUUGUAUAUCGAUUUCAUUUAUUUCAUUUUUGCAUAUAGUAUAGAAUAAAAUAAUAUUCUUA